Molecule: ribosomal RNA, 253 nt
Filed under: uncultured bacterium
Lineage: Bacteria
Description: partial 16S ribosomal RNA
Rfam family: Bacterial small subunit ribosomal RNA
Source: RNAcentral
UACAGAGGUCCCAAGCGUUGUUCGGAUUCACUGGGCGUAAAGGGUGCGUAGGUGGCGUGGUAAGUUUGAUGUGAAAGCUCAGGGCUUAACCCUGAAAUGGCAUUGAAUACUACUGUGCUGGAGGUUUGGAGGGGGGACUGGAAUUCUUGGUGUAGCAGUGAAAUGCGUAGAUAUCAAGAGGAACACCAGUGGCGAAAGCGGCGCACUGGACCACAACUGACGCUGAGGCGCGAAAGCUAGGGGAGCAAACAGG